This is a ribosomal RNA of 880 nucleotides. It matches the Rfam family "Bacterial small subunit ribosomal RNA", at positions 1 to 886 of the family's 1533-position model. The record is from Rfam.
UUUAUUAAGAGUUUGAUCCUGGCUCAGGAUGAACGCUGGCGGCGUGCUUAACACAUGCAAGUCGAGCGAACAAAGCGAUGUGAAGCCUUCGGGCGGAUCAUCGCGGCGUGAGCGGCGGACGGGUGAGUAACACGUGGGUAACCUGCCCUGUACACUGGGAUAACGCACCGAAAGGUGUGCUAAUACCGGAUAAAGUGAACCUUUCGCAUGGAAGGAUCACCAAAGCUCCGGCGGUACAGGAUGGACCCGCGUCCCAUUAGCUAGUUGGUGAGGUAACGGCUCACCAAGGCGACGAUGGGUAGCCGACCUGAGAGGGUGAUCGGCCACACUGGAACUGAGACACGGUCCAGACUCCUACGGGAGGCAGCAGUGGGGAAUAUUGCACAAUGGGCGAAAGCCUGAUGCAGCAACGCCGCGUGAGCGAUGAAGGCCUUCGGGUCGUAAAGCUCUGUCCUAAGGGAAGAUAAUGACGGUACCUUAGGAGGAAGCCCCGGCUAACUACGUGCCAGCAGCCGCGGUAAUACGUAGGGGGCAAGCGUUAUCCGGAAUCACUGGGCGUAAAGGGUGCGUAGGCGGCUGAUAAAGUCCGAGGUGAAAGGCUACGGCUUAACCGUAGUAAGCCUUGGAAACUUAUCAGCUUGAGUACAGGAGAGGAAAGUGGAAUUCCUAGUGUAGCGGUGAAAUGCGUAGAUAUUAGGAGGAACACCAGUGGCGAAGGCGACUUUCUGGACUGUUACUGACGCUGAGGCACGAAAGCGUGGGGAGCGAACAGGAUUAGAUACCCUGGUAGUCCACGCCGUAAACGAUGAGUGCUAGGUGUCGGGGGUCGAACCUCGGUGCCGCAGCUAACGCAUUAAGCACUCCGCCUGGGGAGUACGUU